UGACCUCAAAUCAGGUAGGACUACCCGCUGAACUUAAGC
This 39-nucleotide ribosomal RNA is filed under the name Stropharia rugosoannulata. RNAcentral's name for it is "partial 28S ribosomal RNA". RNAcentral also lists the same sequence under 5 other names. The record is from RNAcentral. Lineage: Eukaryota; Fungi; Basidiomycota; Agaricomycetes; Agaricales; Strophariaceae.